GGCUCAGAUUGAACGCUGGCGGCAGGCCUAACACAUGCAAGUCGAGCGGUAGAGAGGUGCUUGCAUCUCUUGAGAGCGGCGGACGGGUGAGUAAUGCCUAGGAAUCUGCCUGGUGUGGGGGAUAACGUUCGGAAACGGACGCUAAUACCGCAUACGUCCUACGGGAGAAAGCGGGGGGAUCUUCGGACCUCGCGCCAUUAGAUGAGCCUAGGUCGGAUUAGCUAGUUGGUGAGGUAAUGGCUCACCAAGGCGACGAUCCGUAACUGGUCUGAGAGGAUGAUCAGUCACACUGGAACUGAGACACGGUCCAGACUCCUACGGGAGGCAGCAGUGGGGAAUAUUGGACAAUGGGCGAAAGCCUGAUCCAGCCAUGCCGCGUGUGUGAAGAAGGUCUUCGGAUUGUAAAGCACUUUAAGUUGGGAGGAAGGUAGUAACCUAAUACGUUGCUACUUUGACGUUACCGACAGAAUAAGCACCGGCUAACUUCGUG
This 490-nucleotide ribosomal RNA is filed under the name uncultured bacterium. Its description in RNAcentral is "bacterial SSU rRNA". It matches the Rfam family "Bacterial small subunit ribosomal RNA", at positions 21 to 507 of the family's 1533-position model. The record is from RNAcentral.